Molecule: ribosomal RNA, 826 nt
Filed under: uncultured Actinomycetes bacterium
Lineage: Bacteria; Bacillati; Actinomycetota; Actinomycetes
Description: bacterial SSU rRNA
Rfam family: Bacterial small subunit ribosomal RNA
Source: RNAcentral
UGCUAGUGGGUCCCGGCCGCCUGCAGGGCGGAAUAUGGGAGAGUGACCUGGCGUUGGAUGCGGAUAUGGCGGAUUCUCUGGGUCUCCUCCGGAUAUUGCCGUAAUAAUGGUGUUCUGGGUUUCCAAAAAUUUAUCGGUGCGAGAUGGGCCCGCGGCCUAUCAGCUUGUUGGUGAGGUAACGGCUCACCAAGGCGACGACGGGUAGCCGACCUGAGAGGGUGACCGGCCACGCUGGGACUGAGACACGGCCCAGACUCCUACGGGAGGCAGCAGUGGGGAAUAUUGCACAAUGGGCGCAAGCCUGAUGCAGCGACGCCGCGUGCGGGAUGACGGCCUUCGGGUUGUAAACCGCUUUUGACAGGGACGAAGCGCAAGUGACUGUACCUGUAGAAUAAGGACCGGCCAACUACGUGCCAGCAGCCGCGGUAAUACGUAGGGUCCGAGCGUUGUCCGGAAUUACUGGGCGUAAAGAGCUUGUAGGCGGUUCGUCGCGUCGUUUGUGAAAACUUGGGGCUCAACCUUAAGCUUGCAGGCGAUACGGGCGGACUAGAGUACUUCAGGGGAGACUGGAAUUCCUGGUGUAGCGGUGAAAUGCGCAGAUAUCAGGAGGAACACCGGUGGCGAAGGCGGGUCUCUGGGAAGUAACUGACGCUGAGAAGCGAAAGCAUGGGUAGCAAACAGGAUUAGAUACCCUGGUAGUCCAUGCCGUAAACGGUGGGUACUGGGUGUGGGGCUCCUUCCACGGACUCCGUGCCGUAGCUAACGCAUUAAGUACCCCGCCUGGGGAGUACGGCCGCAAGGCUAAAACUCAAAUGAAUUGACGGGG